RNAcentral lists this signal recognition particle RNA (95 nucleotides) under Desulfovibrio sp. Its description in RNAcentral is "signal recognition particle sRNA small type". It matches the Rfam family "Bacterial small signal recognition particle RNA". Rfam says of the family: The signal recognition particle (SRP) is a universally conserved ribonucleoprotein involved in the co-translational targeting of proteins to membranes. Lineage: Bacteria; Pseudomonadati; Thermodesulfobacteriota; Desulfovibrionia; Desulfovibrionales; Desulfovibrionaceae. The record is from RNAcentral.
ACGCGGGAGUCGGGCGGCGGUAACGCCGCCAACCCCGCCAGGUCCGAGAGGAAGCAACGGUAACGGUUGUGCCGGGUGUCCGGCUCCUGUAAAAU